This 499-nucleotide ribosomal RNA is filed under the name uncultured Glomeromycotina. RNAcentral's name for it is "partial small subunit ribosomal RNA". It matches the Rfam family "Eukaryotic small subunit ribosomal RNA", at positions 591 to 1092 of the family's 1831-position model. Lineage: Eukaryota; Fungi; Glomeromycota. The record is from RNAcentral.
CCAAUAGCGUAUAUUAAAGUUGUUGCAGUUAAAAAGCUCGUAGUUGAAUUUCGGGAUCAAUAUGUCAGUCGUGCCUCGGUACGUACUGGCGUAAUUGGUUUCUCCCUUCUGAAGAACCUCGAUGUCAUUAAUUUGGUGUCGUGGGGAAUCAGGACUGUUACUUUGAAAAAAUUAGAGUGUUUAAAGCAGGCUCGCGCUUGAAUACAUUAGCAUGGAAUAAUGAAAUAGGACGUUUGAUUCUAUUUUGUUGGUUUCUAGGAUCGACGUAAUGAUUAAUAGUGAUAGUUGGGUGCAUUAGUAUUCAAUUGUCAGAGGUGAAAUUCUUGGAUUUAUUGAAGACUAACUACUGCGAAAGCAUUUGCCAAGGAUGUUUUCAUUAAUCAAGAACGAAAGUUAGGGGAUCGAAGACGAUCAGAUACCGUCGUAGUCUUAACCAUAAACUAUGCCGACUAGGGAUCGGAUGAUGUUGAUUUUUUAAUGACUCAUUCGGCGCCUUACG